AUUGAACGCUGGCGGCAGGCCUAACACAUGCAAGUCGAACGGUAACAGGAAGAAGCUUGCUUCUUUGCUGACGAGUGGCGGACGGGUGAGUAAUGUCUGGGAAACUGCCUGAUGGAGGGGGAUAACUACUGGAAACGGUAGCUAAUACCGCAUAAUGUCGCAAGACCAAAGAGGGGGACCUUCGGGCCUCUUGCCAUCGGAUGUGCCCAGAUGGGAUUAGCUAGUAGGUGGGGUAACGGCUCACCUAGGCGACGAUCCCUAGCUGGUCUGAGAGGAUGACAGGCCAACUGGGAACGGAGACAGGGACAGGCCCCCGCGGGGAGCGAGCAGGGGGGAAUUUUGCAAAAGGGGCGAAAGCGUGAUACAGUUGGGCCGGGUGUAUGAAGAAGCCCUUGGGUUUGUAAAGUCCUUUGAGGGGGGGGAAAGGGAAAAAAUUUAAUCCCUUUGCUCUUUGACGUCCCCCGAAAAAGAAGCCCCGGCUAACCCCGUC
RNAcentral lists this ribosomal RNA (490 nucleotides) under uncultured bacterium. RNAcentral describes it as "partial 16S ribosomal RNA". It matches the Rfam family "Bacterial small subunit ribosomal RNA", at positions 30 to 507 of the family's 1533-position model. The record is from RNAcentral.